CAGCCGCCGCGGUAAUACGUAGGGGGCGAGCGUUGUCCGGAAUUAUUGGGCGUAAAGCGCGCGCAGGCGGUCCCUUAAGUCUGAUGUGAAAGCCCACGGCUCAACCGUGGAGGGUCAUUGGAAACUGGGGGACUUGAGUGCGGAAGAGGAGAGCGGAAUUCCACGUGUAGCGGUGAAAUGCGUAGAGAUGUGGAGGAACACCAGUGGCGAAGGCGGCUCUCUGGUCUGUAACUGACGCUGAGGCGCGAAAGCGUGGGGAGCAAACAGGAUUAGAUACCCUGUUAGUCCACGCCGUAAACGAUGAGUGCUAAGUGUUAGAGGGGUUAAACCCUUUAGUGCUGUAGCUAACGCGUUAAGCACUCCGCCUGGGGAGUACGGCCGCAAGGCUGAAACUUAAAGGAAUUGGCGGG
Molecule: ribosomal RNA, 410 nt
Filed under: uncultured microorganism
Description: bacterial SSU rRNA
Rfam family: Bacterial small subunit ribosomal RNA
Source: RNAcentral